This is a non-coding RNA of Schizosaccharomyces pombe (fission yeast), 1321 nucleotides long. Lineage: Eukaryota; Fungi; Ascomycota; Schizosaccharomycetes; Schizosaccharomycetales; Schizosaccharomycetaceae. The record is from the annotation of a GenBank genome assembly.
CACGCCGCAUCGAAAAUUUAGUUUAUUGAAAUUAGCGAUUCCUAUUAACAAUACGAAGUAAAUGCUUAACGUAGGCUAAUUUCCGCAAUUCUUGAAUAAGUCCAAACCAUCUUUAAAAAGAUUAUUGCCAAGCUUACUUAUAAGGAAAAUGACAGCAAAGAUUUUUUAACCAAAUUAAUCAAAGAAAACUAUAUAUUGAAAAUGGUUGAAUUGUAUAACCUUAACAAGUACAAGAGAGACCUCUUGUACCUUGCCAACGUGCAUUUACAAAGCGUCAGUAUAUCCCUCGCUUACUGCACUUAAAUUUGCUAAAAUCUUUAUCUUACGAAUUACAUAAUUACGAUUUUUCAAAUUACUGAUAAUACCAUAGUCACUUUACAUAUAUUAGCACCCAAAUCUUGAGUCAAAAAUCCGACAUGAAAUAUUUUGUUGCUUAUUUAAUCUUGUUCGUCAAACUUUUCGACAAGGUCAGGAAUUUCUCCAUCGUCGGCUUGUGCAUCAGCUCCCUUUUCACCUUCACUGACCUUUAAUUGCUCAGCCAUUUGACGAAGGGCAGUCAAGGAUUCAGGACCAAGGUUGUUCAAAAUGCCAGGCAAAAUCUCAGACAAAGUCUUUUCCUCUGCUUUACCAUAGAUAGCUGUAGUUUCAUUAGGAAGCGAGGAAUGAACGGUAGGUGCACGGAAAUUAAUGACUCCGCCAUCUUCCUUGAACAUGUUAACCUCUUGGAUGCCAGCAAGGUUUUGCAUAUUCAACUUUUUCAAGGCACCUUGAACCUUCUUGUCAUCAGCAGCACUCAUGGCAGACUUAGAAGGCUUCUUCACCUUACGACGAGGGGUACCCUUUCCACCUAUACAAUGAUAAGUUAAUUAAGCAGUUCUCUAUGAAAAAAGUACAACUGUGUUUUCAAUAGCCAGCAUCAAUUACAGUGGAACCACUUUGAAACCGUUCAAGGCAUUUCUUAGAGCUGGUGUCAACUUCAAAACACGGGGAUGCAUUCGAACAUACCAAUACGAGCGCCAGCCUGCAACUUAGCCAAUUUGGAGGGAUCCAUUUGUUUCUAUUUGACCAAACGUUUUUGGUUGUGGAAGGACUUGAACUUGACGUUUCUAAAGUUGUGGUACCGAAAUGUGUGACUGCUCCCAUACUUACAAUAAAGUAAAGAUACACACUGUGUUGCGAUAUAUGAAUAGUAAUAUCAACACAAAUUCGCGUUAUUCAAUUUAGAAUAAAUGGUGUUUGCUCUAAUACAAUAAACACAAAUCCAAAUAAAAAUAGUGAAGUCGUUUAACAAAACUUUAAAAGACUGUGUGAAUCAAAAAAG